GUCGGAAUCGCUAGUAAACGCAGAUCAGCAUGCUGCGUUGAAUACGUUCCCGGGCCUUGUACACACCGCCCGUCACACCACGAAAGUUUGUUCAACCCGAAGUCGGUGAGCUAACCCUAUGGGAAGCAGCCGCCUAAGGUGGGGCAGAUGAUUGGGGUGAAGUCGUAACAAGGUAGCCGUACUGGAAGGUGCGGCUGGAUCACCUCCUUUCUGG
RNAcentral lists this ribosomal RNA (214 nucleotides) under Nostoc sp. HG1. Its description in RNAcentral is "partial 16S ribosomal RNA". It matches the Rfam family "Bacterial small subunit ribosomal RNA", at positions 1325 to 1533 of the family's 1533-position model. Lineage: Bacteria; Bacillati; Cyanobacteriota; Cyanophyceae; Nostocales; Nostocaceae. The record is from RNAcentral.